GACGAACGCUGGCGGCGUGCUUAACACAUGCAAGUCGAACGAUGAAGCUGGAGCUUGCUCCGGUGGAUUAGUGGCGAACGGGUGAGUAACACGUGAGAAAUCUGCCCUUGACUCUGGGAUAACUGCGGGAAACUGUAGCUAAUACCGGAUAUUUUCCUUGGUGGGCAUCCACUGGUGAAGAAAGAAUUUCGGUCAAGGAUGAUCUCGCGGCCUAUCAGCUAGUUGGUGAGGUAAUGGCUCACCAAGGCGACGACGGGUAGCCGGCCUGAGAGGGUGGCCGGCCACACUGGGACUGAGACACGGCCCAGACUCCUACGGGAGGCAGCAGUGGGGAAUAUUGCACAAUGGGCGCAAGCCUGAUGCAUCAACGCCGCGUGAGGGAUGAAGGCCUUCGGGUUGUAAACCUCUUUUAGCAGGGAAGAAGCGAAAGUGACGGUACCUGCAGAAAAAGCACCGGCUAACUACGUGCCAGCAGCCGCCGCCG
RNAcentral lists this ribosomal RNA (484 nucleotides) under uncultured bacterium. RNAcentral's name for it is "partial 16S ribosomal RNA". It matches the Rfam family "Bacterial small subunit ribosomal RNA", at positions 28 to 523 of the family's 1533-position model. The record is from RNAcentral.